Molecule: long non-coding RNA, 1125 nt
Organism: Gymnodraco acuticeps
Lineage: Eukaryota; Metazoa; Chordata; Actinopteri; Perciformes; Bathydraconidae
Exons: 8
Source: RefSeq, a predicted model, not a curated record
CAUUUCCAUUCCUUAUAUGCAAAUGAACGGGGCGUGGUUAGCUCACAGGUCCAGAGACCCAGACCAAAGCAACAGCACCACACUGACUACUCGAGAAGAGGAAGAAAAUGGAGGAGAAGGACUAUAAGGCAAACUACUAAAUGAAAAUAACAACAUGGAAGACGUCGGUGGGCUCCAAGACUUAACUGGUUCUUAUCUGGUCUUCUCUGGUCCGCCCAAUGCUGCUCUUCUGAGAGCAACCGCUCUGACAGCUCUCUCUAGUCUCUACUGGGAAACAGCUAAAAGUCCUUCUGGAGGCUUUGCAUUUGAACUCCUAUGACUGGUUGCAGACUUGAAGGGAACGCCUUCCUGACAUCCAGGAACAAGUUUUAUUGGACAGGCAGUAGAGAUCUACUGGAAACAGUGGAGAGGGAGGAGAUGAUAUGCAGCAUACGGCCCAGCCGGAUGGUUGCUGCUCCGUGUGGAACGUGUCCUAUCAGGUGUAACAUCUACCAAUGGUUGUACAUGACAGAGACCUCCUCCGCCUCUUUGCUGUCUUACUAGUCAAUCCUUCUGAUCAGGUCCUUUCCUAAAUAGUGAAAGGAUCAUGCCAGCCCACAUCAAACACCUGAUCAAGAGAUUGUGAACCUCACUGCUGCAGACACCUGUGUGAUAUUCCACUCUGACUGGAACCCUCAAAAUGACCUGCAGGCUCAAGCUCGGUGUCAUCGUUUUGGCCAGUCUAAGGCGGUGGAGGUGUACCGUCUGAUCACUAGAAACUAUGAGAGGGAAAUGCUGGAUAAAGCUAGUCUGAAGCUCGGGCUGGACCGUCCCGUCCUGCAGAGCAUGAGUGGCAACAACAACGGGCCGGUCCAGCACUUCUCCAAGAAGGAGAUCGAGGACCUGCUGAGGAAAGGAGCCUACGCCGCCAUCAUGGACGAGAACGACGAAGGCAAUCGCUUCUGCUAGGAGGACAUCGACCAGAUCCUGCAGCGAAGAGCCACCAUCAACACCAUCACCAGUUUGCUUCAAGCAGUGGCUGCACGAGAAAGACGUGGAGGACCAAGAAAUGCUGGCCAGAUUGGCAAAGACCGGAAGAUACAUAACAGAGAAGAUAAUGGAUAUUAACAAGAAAAAAAAAAAAAA